Molecule: ribosomal RNA, 163 nt
Filed under: Badiera oblongata
Lineage: Eukaryota; Viridiplantae; Streptophyta; Magnoliopsida; Fabales; Polygalaceae
Description: 5.8S ribosomal RNA
Rfam family: 5.8S ribosomal RNA
About the family: 5.8S ribosomal RNA (5.8S rRNA) is a component of the large subunit of the eukaryotic ribosome. It is transcribed by RNA polymerase I as part of the 45S precursor that also contains 18S and 28S rRNA.
Source: RNAcentral
GAACGACUCUCGGCAACGGAUAUCUCGGCUCUCGCAUCGAUGAAGAACGUAGCGAGAUGCGAUACUUGGUGUGAAUUGCAGAAUCCCGUGAACCAUCGAGUCUUUGAACGCAAGUUGCGCCCGACGCCUUCGGGCCGAGGGCACGUCUGCCUGGGCGUCACGC